GUGGAGAAGUAUCUGCGUCAAACUGAUCCUCAAUUCCUCCACUUCAUGGCCACUCAUUCUUCUUCAGCUGGUACCACAGACCCAAUUCCCCAACAAGAUCCAUAGGUUGCUCUAUUUCCCAACUCUAUUCCUUUUCCCUUGAACAUUGACGUGAACAUUAUGUGUGAUCUAAAACUGUUGUAGUUUGCUAUGUUUAAAUGGUUUGAACACGAACUUAAUGUGUAUUUCCC
RNAcentral lists this long non-coding RNA (230 nucleotides) under Arabidopsis lyrata. RNAcentral describes it as "long non-coding RNA (ALYR_LNC003200)". Lineage: Eukaryota; Viridiplantae; Streptophyta; Magnoliopsida; Brassicales; Brassicaceae. The record is from RNAcentral.